This 29-nucleotide small RNA is filed under the name Bombyx mori (domestic silkworm). RNAcentral's name for it is "ovarian small RNA-14639". The record is from RNAcentral. Lineage: Eukaryota; Metazoa; Arthropoda; Insecta; Lepidoptera; Bombycidae.
CUAGUCGGUAGAAGGCUCGUGCAGCCUUA